AGGGAAAGAUGAAAGAACUGUAUCAAGCAUCAAAAAGCAAAGACAAACCCUUAUAUCUUCUGCAUAAUGUAUUAACUAGAAAUAACUUUACACAGAGAAUUAUAGCCAAGUUCCCCAAAACCAGACGAGCUACCGAAGAACAGCUGAAAGAGCACACUUACCUAUGUGACAAAAUAGUGAGAAGAUUCAUAAGUAGCAGUGACAAGCCUACCGAGCCUGGUGAUAGCUGGUUGUCCAAGAUGGGAUCUUAAUUCAACUUUAAACUUACCCACAGAAUUACUUAAUCUCCCCAUAAGUUUAGACAGCUCUGUAGACCCUAGGAAACAACCUUCCUACAGAGAGUAAAAAAUAUUUCCACCAUAGUUGGCCCAAAAGCAACCACCAAUUAAGAAAGCGUUUAAGCUCAACAUCUAUCUUAAAUUCUAGUCACUCUACUGAACUCCUAACAUCACAUUGGACUAAUCUAUUACUUAAUAGAAGCAAUAAUGUUAAUAUAAGUAAUAUGAAAACAUUCUCCAUUGCAUAAGCUUACAUCAGACUGGAAUAACCCACUGACAGUUAGCCUAAUAUUAAUAAACGAUAUAAUAAGCUCUUUAUUAUUUACACUGUUAACCCAACACAGGUAUGCUCUAAGGAAAGAAUACAAAAAGUAAAAGGAACUCCGCAAAUUUUACCCCGCCUGUUUACCAAAAACAUCACCUCUAGCAUUACCAGUAUUAGAGGCACUGCCUGCCCAGUGACAUACGUUCAAUGGCCGCAGUAUCCUGACUGUGCAAAGGUAGCAUAAUCACUUGUUCCUUAAAUAGGAACUUGUAUGAAUGACCACACGAGGGUUCAGCUGUCUCCUACUUUUAAUCAGGGAAAUUGACCUAUCCGCGAAGAGGCGGAUAUAAACAAAUAAGACGAGAAGACCCUAUGUAUGGAGCUUUAAUUUAUUAAUGCAAAUAAAAACUUAAGCCUACAGGCCCUAGCCUACUAUCCCUGCAUUAAAAUUUUUGGUUGGGGUGACCUCAGAGCAUAAUUCAACCUCCGAGCAACCUAAACUAAGACUGCACUAGUCUAAGCAAGUUAAUAUGUAUUGACCCGAUAAUUUGAUCAACGGAGUAAGUUACCCUAGGGAUAACAGCGCAAUCCUAUUCUAGAGUCCAUAUCAACAAUAGGGUUUACAAUCUCGAUGUUGGAUCAGGACAUCCUAAUGGUGUCGCCGCUAUUAGGGGUUCGUUUGUUCAACAAUUAAAGUCCUACGUGAUGUGAGUUCAGACCAGAGUAAUCCAGGUUGGUUUCUAUCUAUUUAACAUUUCCCCUAG
This is a ribosomal RNA of Pan troglodytes (chimpanzee), 1307 nucleotides long. It matches the Rfam family "Bacterial large subunit ribosomal RNA". Lineage: Eukaryota; Metazoa; Chordata; Mammalia; Primates; Hominidae. The record is from Rfam.